GCCGGAGUGGUGGAAUUGGUAGACGCGCCGGACUCAAAAUCCGGUGGGCUUAGGUCCGUGUGAGUUCGAGUCUCUCCUCCGGCACCA
Molecule: transfer RNA, 87 nt
Filed under: bacterium ADurb.BinA186
Lineage: Bacteria
Description: tRNA-Leu
Rfam family: tRNA
About the family: Transfer RNA (tRNA) molecules are approximately 80 nucleotides in length. Their secondary structure includes four short double-helical elements and three loops (D, anti-codon, and T loops). Further hydrogen bonds mediate the characteristic L-shaped molecular structure. tRNAs have two regions of fundamental functional importance: the anti-codon, which is responsible for specific mRNA codon recognition, and the 3' end, to which the tRNAs corresponding amino acid is attached (by aminoacyl-tRNA synthetases). tRNAs cope with the degeneracy of the genetic code in two manners: having more than one tRNA (with a specific anti-codon) for a particular amino acid; and 'wobble' base-pairing, i.e. permitting non-standard base-pairing at the 3rd anti-codon position.
Source: RNAcentral